This 484-nucleotide ribosomal RNA is filed under the name Shigella flexneri. RNAcentral's name for it is "bacterial SSU rRNA". It matches the Rfam family "Bacterial small subunit ribosomal RNA", at positions 96 to 576 of the family's 1533-position model. The record is from RNAcentral. Lineage: Bacteria; Pseudomonadati; Pseudomonadota; Gammaproteobacteria; Enterobacterales; Enterobacteriaceae.
UGGCGGACGGGUGAGUAAUGUCUGGGAAACUGCCUGAUGGAGGGGGAUAACUACUGGAAACGGUAGCUAAUACCGCAUAACGUCGCAAGACCAAAGAGGGGGACCUUCGGGCCUCUUGCCAUCGGAUGUGCCCAGAUGGGAUUAGCUAGUAGGUGGGGUAACGGCUCACCUAGGCGACGAUCCCUAGCUGGUCUGAGAGGAUGACCAGCCACACUGGAACUGAGACACGGUCCAGACUCCUACGGGAGGCAGCAGUGGGGAAUAUUGCACAAUGGGCGCAAGCCUGAUGCAGCCAUGCCGCGUGUAUGAAGAAGGCCUUCGGGUUGUAAAGUACUUUCAGCGGGGAGGAAGGGAGUAAAGUUAAUACCUUUGCUCAUUGACGUUACCCGCAGAAGAAGCACCGGCUAACUCCGUGCCAGCAGCCGCGGUAAUACGGAGGGUGCAAGCGUUAAUCGGAAUUACUGGGCGUAAAGCGCACGCAGGC